CUUUUGUGGGGUGCUCGAGUGGCGAACGGGUGAGUAACACGUGAGUAACCUGCCCUUGACUUUGGGAUAACUUCAGGAAACUGGGCUAAUACCGGAUAGGAGCUCCUGCUGCAUGGUGGGGGUUGGAAAGUUUCGGCGGUUGGGGAUGGACUCGCGGCUUAUCAGCUUGUUGGUGGGGUAGUGGCUUACCAAGGCUUUGACGGGUAGCCGGCCUGAGAGGGUGACCGGCCACAUUGGGACUGAGAUACGGCCCAG
RNAcentral lists this ribosomal RNA (255 nucleotides) under uncultured Actinomycetales bacterium. Its description in RNAcentral is "partial 16S ribosomal RNA". It matches the Rfam family "Bacterial small subunit ribosomal RNA", at positions 77 to 334 of the family's 1533-position model. The record is from RNAcentral. Lineage: Bacteria; Bacillati; Actinomycetota; Actinomycetes; Actinomycetales.